AUGGAUCUCCUGGAAGUUUUCCUUAGGCGCCGAAUCCAGCCUCUUCAGUUCCGGAGCCACUGCAUGUGGUUGUACUGUGGGACUAAGGACGUGACUCGGGUUAACCCAGAAACAGUCGACGAUGCCACUCUGGAAAGGUGGAUGGCCGCUGUUACUGGGAACAAGGAUAACCCUCGCGGAGCCAGAAGGAUUCCUCCACUCGACUGCCACAGUGACCCAAACAAGGCCCUCACUGAACUGUACUCAAUGCCCAACGGAGCGCAGACUCCGACUGAGGAGGGAGAAGCGAGCGGGGGCGAGAGUCAGGAGGAGUGGGACUCGGACGCCGCCGAGGCCGAUGAUGAUGACGAUGACGAUGAUGAUGAUGAUGAUGAGGACGGCGAAGAGGAGGAGGAGGAGGAGGUCGCACCACCGCGCUCAGAAAGGCGGUCGAAACUUGUUCAUGACCCUGCGACUGAACGCGGCGAGGGGGUCGCGACUGUUACUCAGUCGACCAAGCGUCCCUGGAUCACCUCUCUGGCGCCGACUGAAAAGGCGCCGAAGCAGCCCAGGGCGGCCCCGUCGAAGCCGACCAAGCACCUGCCGAAGAUGAAGGUGUCCAUCCCCAUCAUAUCAGGCUCCAUCCAAUGUUGUUAUCACUCUCCCUGA
This 648-nucleotide ribosomal RNA is filed under the name Triticum aestivum (bread wheat). Its description in RNAcentral is "partial small subunit ribosomal RNA". The record is from RNAcentral. Lineage: Eukaryota; Viridiplantae; Streptophyta; Magnoliopsida; Poales; Poaceae.